AGACGAACCGGGCGAACGUUAUUCGGAAUCACUGGGCUUAAAGCGUGCGUAGGCGGCUUGGCAAGUUGGGUGUGAAAGCCCUCGGCUCAACCGAGGAACUGCGCUCAAAACUGCCAGGCUUGAGGGAGAUAGAGGUGAGUGGAACUGAUGGUGGAGCGGUGAAAUGCUUUGAUAUCAUCAGGAACACCGGUGGCGAAAGCGGCUCACUGGGUCUCUUCUGACGCUGAGGCACGAAAGCUAGGGGAGCGAACGGGAUUAGAUACCCCAGUAGUCC
This 274-nucleotide ribosomal RNA is filed under the name uncultured bacterium. Its description in RNAcentral is "partial 16S ribosomal RNA". It matches the Rfam family "Bacterial small subunit ribosomal RNA", at positions 523 to 796 of the family's 1533-position model. The record is from RNAcentral.